This 506-nucleotide ribosomal RNA is filed under the name uncultured bacterium. RNAcentral's name for it is "partial 16S ribosomal RNA". It matches the Rfam family "Bacterial small subunit ribosomal RNA", at positions 29 to 523 of the family's 1533-position model. The record is from RNAcentral.
AGUGAACGCUGGCGGUAGGCCUAACACAUGCAAGUCGAACGGCAGCACAGGAGAGCUUGCUCUCUGGGUGGCGAGUGGCGGACGGGUGAGGAAUACAUCGGAAUCUACUCUGUCGUGGGGGAUAACGUAGGGAAACUUACGCUAAUACCGCAUACGACCUUCGGGUGAAAGCAGGGGAUCUUCGGACCUUGCGCGAUUGAAUGAGCCGAUGUCGGAUUAGCUAGUUGGCGGGGUAAAGGCCCACCAAGGCGACGAUCCGUAGCUGGUCUGAGAGGAUAAUCAGCCACACUGGAACUGAGACACGGUCCAGCCUCCUACGGGAGGCAGCAGUGGGGAAUAUUGGACAAUGGGCGCAAGCCUGAUCCAGCCAUACCGCGUGGGUGAAGAAGGCCUUCGGGUUGUAAAGCCCUUUUGUUGGGAAAGAAAUCCAGCUGGCUAAUACCCGGUUGGGAUGACGGUACCCAAAGAAUAAGCACCGGCUAACUUCGUGCCAGCAGCCGCAGUAA